Phthorimaea operculella (potato tuberworm) is the source of this 77-nucleotide non-coding RNA. The record is from the annotation of a GenBank genome assembly. NCBI's taxonomy places the organism in Eukaryota, Metazoa, Arthropoda, Insecta, Lepidoptera, Gelechiidae.
ACCGCGGUAGCCCAGUUGGUAGUGGCGUCGGCAGUACAGAUUCCGAAGGUCGCAGGUUCAAAUCCCUGCCUGCGUCG